CAGCAGCCGCGGGAAUACGUAGGUGGCAAGCGUUGUCCGGAAUCAUUGGGCGUAAAGGGCUCGCAGGCGGUUUCUUAAGUCUGAUGUGAAAGCCCCCGGCUCAACCGGGGAGGGUCAUUGGAAACUGGGAAACUUGAGUGCAGAAGAGGAGAGUGGAAUUCCACGUGUAGCGGUGAAAUGCGUAGAGAUGUGGAGGAACACCAGUGGCGAAGGCGACUCUCUGGUCUGUAACUGACGCUGAGGAGCGAAAGCGUGGGGAGCGAACAGGAUUAGAUACCCGCGUAGUCCCUGUCUCUUAUAC
This 301-nucleotide ribosomal RNA is filed under the name uncultured bacterium. RNAcentral's name for it is "partial 16S ribosomal RNA". It matches the Rfam family "Bacterial small subunit ribosomal RNA", at positions 509 to 807 of the family's 1533-position model. The record is from RNAcentral.